RNAcentral lists this transfer RNA (74 nucleotides) under Oscillibacter sp. Its description in RNAcentral is "tRNA-Lys". The stretch from base 8 to 71 matches the Rfam family "tRNA". From Rfam's summary of the family: Transfer RNA (tRNA) molecules are approximately 80 nucleotides in length. The record is from RNAcentral. Lineage: Bacteria; Bacillati; Bacillota; Clostridia; Eubacteriales; Oscillospiraceae.
GCGGCGAGCACCGUUGGCAGAGCACCUGCCUUUUAAGCAGGGUGUCCGGGGUUCGAAUCCCCGACGAGGCACCA